UGGGGAAUUUUGGACAAUGGGCGAAAGCCUGAUCCAGCAAUGCCGCGUGUGUGAAGAAGGCCUUCGGGUUGUAAAGCACUUUUGUCCAGAAAGAAAUCCUUGGCUCUAAUACAGUCGGGGGAUGACGGUACCGGAAGAAUAAGCACCGGCUAACUACGUGCCAGCAGCCGCGGUAAUACGUAGGGUGCAAGCGUUAAUCGGAAUUACUGGGCGUAAAGCGUGCGCAGGCGGUUUGCUAAGACCGAUGUGAAAUCCCCGGGCUCAACCUGGGAACUGCAUUGGUGACUGGCAGGCUAGAGUAUGGCAGAGGGGGGUAGAAUUCCACGUGUAGCAGUGAAAUGCGUAGAGAUGUGGAGGAAUACCGAUGGCGAAGGCAGCCCCCUGGGCCAAUACUGACGCUCAUGCACGAAAGCGUGGGGAGCAAAACAGGAUUAGAUACCCUGGUAGUCCACGCCCUAAACGAUGUCAACUAGUUGUUGGGGAUUCAUUUCCUUAGUAACGUAGCUAACGCGUGAAGUUGACCGCCUGGGGAGUACGGUCGCAAGAUUAAAA
Molecule: ribosomal RNA, 552 nt
Filed under: uncultured bacterium
Lineage: Bacteria
Description: partial 16S ribosomal RNA
Rfam family: Bacterial small subunit ribosomal RNA
Source: RNAcentral